CCAGCAGCCCGCGGUAAUUCCAGCUUCAGCAGCAUUUAUUAAAGUGCUGCGGUUUAAAAGGCUCGCAGUUGAAUGUCUGUUUCGAGCGCAGGUCAGGUGGACGUUGGGGCGUGGAAGUACGGGCUGUUGGAUGCCCGGUGGGCUUCGUGCUCGUCGGCUCCUUCGGCUUUUCCACACACCCCCGUCCGUGACAAGCCUCCUCGCUCGGGUACAUAACGGGAAUCGGUCAAACGGAGUGUGGUCAUGGAAGUUGAGGUGCGUGGCUUUACGGUUGCGUGUCGCUUCUCUCGUGGCUGCGUCAAGCUCCAUCGGUUUCACGGUCACCUUGAGUAAAUCAGAGUGCUCAAAGCAGUCGUAGGGGCCUUGCGCCCUGUGAACAGUCUUGACGGACUGACUUGGUUUUGCAUGGCAUGUCGGAAGACGACGUCGUGUGCUGGCUCAGAGGAUAAAUCAGUGGUACAAGCCAGCCUCGACGUAAUGAUUAAAAGGGACGGGCGAGGGCAUUGGUAUUGCGAGGCGAGAGGUGAAAUUUUUGUGAACCCCCCGCAA
RNAcentral lists this ribosomal RNA (549 nucleotides) under Gammarus duebeni. RNAcentral's name for it is "partial small subunit ribosomal RNA". It matches the Rfam family "Eukaryotic small subunit ribosomal RNA", at positions 567 to 933 of the family's 1831-position model. Lineage: Eukaryota; Metazoa; Arthropoda; Malacostraca; Amphipoda; Gammaridae. The record is from RNAcentral.